Pangasianodon hypophthalmus (striped catfish) is the source of this 767-nucleotide long non-coding RNA. RefSeq lists it as uncharacterized. The record is from RefSeq and is a predicted model, not a curated record. The transcript is spliced from 3 exons. NCBI's taxonomy places the organism in Eukaryota, Metazoa, Chordata, Actinopteri, Siluriformes, Pangasiidae.
AACAGUGAAGUAGUGAAAUGCUAACUGUGUUUUCUUCAACAACACUGAGUUGCAGACUUUUAGUGAAUCAUGAUAAAUGUUUAUAGUUGAGCAUGUUACUAUUGCAUCAGAAACAUCUACACCAGCUCUGUGUGAUAAUUCAGUGGUGUGUGAACCAACAGUGCAUGGAAACAGCACUAACAUGAACACACAAGAGAAAACAGGUAAGAUGUCUUAUAAUUCACCAUUAAAUAAUUAUCCUUAAUUCAUAAAAUAAAAUUUGCCUAGACAAUCAAUUGUGCUAAGGUAAAUGUAAUGUGGUGAAAUAACAGUAUCAGAAAUGACUAGAUCUCUACAUUCGACAGUGCUCGGUUUGGGAACGGCUUUGGGUUUGUGUGCACUUCUGAUUUUCUGCCUCAUUUAUUUCAUACUGAGGAGAAGAAAAUGUGAAAACUCUAGAAUGAAAGCUUGUACAGAAAAUUCUUCGGGAAUGAGGCAGGAAUCUGAAGCUGAACCACUGAAUUAUGCAGCUGUGCAAUUUACCAAGAGGAAAGCCAAAGCUGAAAAAAAGAAAACUGGCUCAUUAGAUGAGUGUGUGUACUCCGAUGUGAAGAAAACUGUCAGAUGUAACAGAAAUAAUUCAUAACACAUGGUAUAAUUACACUGCAUAAACAUAAAAAUGCCUAGAAAUAAUCCUACAUUUUACAAUUCUAUAUUAGUUUACGCUUAUGUAUUAUAUAAGAUAUUAUAAUAUAAUAUUAUAUAUAAUAUAAGAGUUAUAUUAAAGU